UUUCAGACCUUCUUCUUCCACGAUGUAGAACUGAAAUCCCUGGACAAGGCCUGAGACAAGCGUAUACAUAGCCCUGAAAGGUGGAGAGAAGGCAGAGGAAGCAGGUGCUUGCCGAUCCGAGAGAUGAUGGGCUUUCUCUUAGCCUCAGACAUCCCACAGUGGGUUCUAGAGAAACCCAUUGUUGCAGCCAUGCUUUUGUCUGCGUGUGACAUCAUCACAGGCCAUCUUGAAACGCCGGGGCUAUGGCCACCUACAGAAUACCUUGGCACCUGAGCUACAGAAUGAUCAGCAAUGACUUCUUUUAUGGAUACAGCAGUCCAGACCAAUAGCAAACACCCAGUAGCAGCAGCCCGAUCCAGCAGAAACUGCAAGGCUCCACCAAACAGCACAAGUCAGCAGAAGUGGUGAGAAUCAUGCAGGAAUACCCAUGAGAAGUUCUUUGGCCUGGUCCUUAAAUGGAGACAAAUGGGGUUUGUGUUGCCCUUUCAGUCCCAUGCUGUGGAACCAACUCAGGGCCCACCAUGAGCCCUGCCUUUGCUGCCAAGCGGGAGCUUAA
Mus musculus (house mouse) is the source of this 556-nucleotide long non-coding RNA. RefSeq annotates it as predicted gene, 40048. The record is from RefSeq and is a predicted model, not a curated record. The transcript is spliced from 3 exons. Lineage: Eukaryota; Metazoa; Chordata; Mammalia; Rodentia; Muridae.